Molecule: long non-coding RNA, 5275 nt
Organism: Eriocheir sinensis (Chinese mitten crab)
Lineage: Eukaryota; Metazoa; Arthropoda; Malacostraca; Decapoda; Varunidae
Exons: 6
Source: RefSeq, a predicted model, not a curated record
CCACUUUCCUUCCCCUGAAAAUACGGGGCUUAUUAUAAUUAUCUCUAUAUUCUUAAAACGCACCGUGGCCUCAGUUCGCCUGUUUGAAAAGCCUCUCGUGGAAGUUGCUGGGAUUAUAUUGGACUGUUUUGUGAUGCGAGUGAUAGUUGUACACGACUUCUGCGUCUAGAACGGGAGUCACCCAUGAAAACAAGCCUCACGUUCUCUAGUCACCCAUGAAAACCAGGCUCACGUUCUCUAGUCACCCAUGAAAACAAGCCUCACGUUCUCUAGUCACCCAUGAAAACAAGCCUCACGUUCUCUAGUCACCCAUGAAAACAAGCCUCACGUUCUCUAGUCACCCAUGAAAACAAGCCUCACGUUCUCUAGUCACCCAUGAAAACUAGGCUCAUCUUCUCUGUGGCCUUGGGAAACAGUCGUAGAGGGAGCCGAUGUAGUAUCCCUGAGUACGAUAAUGAUUUUAAUUGACACGACAGUCGAAUCAUCUAUGGUAUCGUUGAUUUAUUCUUUCCACUCGUCUAGAAUAUAUUGGUUUUAGAUGAGAAGUUUGAUUGGAUACUGUCAUUUGUGGGAGGAUGACAACUUGUAGGCAGAAACAAAUGAAUAAAUACAAUAAUAAAUGACGAAGAGAUGGUGUUAGGCUAUGCUGAUGAAGACGGAGAAGAUUGAGGAGGAGGAAGAUUGAUUGAAUACUGUUAUUUGUGGGAGGAUGACAACUUGUAGGCAGAAACAAAUAAAUAAAUACAAUAAUAAAUGACGAAGAGAUGGUGUUAGGCUAUGAUGAUGAAGAAAACGAGAAGAAGAGAAGAUUGAGGAGGAGGAAGAAGGGUUAGGCUAUGAUGAUGAAGGGGAAGAGAAGGAGGAGGAGGAAGAAGGGAAGGAACAACAAUCUGAGAAGAAGAGAUGGUGUUAGGCCAUGAUGAUGAAGAAGACGAGAAGGGGAAGAGAAGAUUGAGGAGGACGAAGAAGGGUUAGGCUUUGAUGAUGAAGAAGGGGAAGAGAAGAAUGAGGAGGUGGAAGAAGGGAAAGAACAACAGUCUGAGAAGAGGAAGAGAUAAGAGGACGAGAAGAAGGGAAGAAAGAGGAGGAGGAAGAAGGGAAGGAACAACAAGUCUGACAAGAGGAAGAGAACAGGCCCCUUUGCUACCCUUCCUUCCCUUCCCAUUCGUUCCCGCAAGGCCACGGAGGGUAAGGAUGAUAAAUAUAAGCGUUCCCUCAGUGCCAGAGUUUAGCAAGGUGCCCCGCGACGCUAUUACGCAUCCUUGGCGGCCAAAAUAACUUCACCUUGACGACGCAGCGUACAGUUAAAAUAGAUUACCUGUUGAGUACGCAGGUAGAGUAUACGAGGCUAUCUUUUUGGCUUGGCAUACACUGAAAUGGAUUGACUUUCUUGAAUUGGCAGUUUAUUAUUAUUAUCAUUAUUAAUAUUAUUUUUUUUUACAGCAUGGGAGGCAACUCAAGGGUAUACAACAACAACAACAACGACGACAACAACAACAACAACAACAACAACAACAACAACAACAACAACAACAACAAGAAAACGAUAUAAUGUAGGUCUAAUAUUCUUGGUUGAUACACUUGAAAUGAAUUGACUAUCUUGAAUUCGCAUUUUAUUUAUUUAUUUAUUUAUUUUUUACAGUAAGGGAAGCAACUCAAAGGUAAACAACAACAACAACAACAACAACAACAACAAAACGAUAUAAUGUAGGUCUAAUAUUCUUGGUUGAUACACUUGAAAUGAAUUGACUAUCUUGAAUUCGCAUUUUAUUUAUUUAUUUAUUUAUUUUUUACAGUAAGGGAAGCAACUCAAAGGUAAACAACAACAACAACAACAACAACAACAACAACAACAACAACAAGAAAACGAUAUAAUGUAGGUCUAAUAUUCUUGGUUGAUACACUUGAAAUGAAUUGACUAUCUUGAAUUCGCAUUUUAUUUAUUUAUUUAUUUAUUUUUUACAGUUAGGGAAGCAACUCAAGGGUAAACACCAACAACAACAACAACAACAACAACAACAAGAAAACGAUAUAAUGUAGGUCUAAUAUUCUUGGUUGAUACACUUGAAAUGAAUUGACUAUCUUGAAUUCGCAUUUUAUUUAUUUAUUUAUUUAUUUUUUACAGUAAGGGAAGCAACUCAAAGGUAAACAACAACAACAACAACAACAACAAAACGAUAUAAUGUAGGUCUAAUAGUCUUCUAGAAUUCACUUUUUUUUUUCUUUUUUUUUUACAGUAAGGGAGGCAGCUCAAGGGCAAAAAAUACUAUACAAAACAAAACAAAAUCGCUAUUCCUAGUUAAUACACUUGGAAUAUGUUAGCUUUCUUGAAUACGCUGUUGGGAUAUCGGUUUAAUAUUCCUGGUUAAUAUACUGAAUCGGACUGACUUUCUUAAAUACGCCGUUGAAUAAAGGUUUAAUAUUCCUGGUUAAUACACUGAAUCGGACUGACUUUCUUAAAUACGCCGUUGAAUAAAGGUUUAAUAUUCCUGGUUAAUACACUGAAACGGACUAACUUUCUUAAAUACGCCGUUGAAUAAAGGUUUAAUAUUCCUGGUUAAUACACUGAAACGGACUAACUUUCUUAAAUACGCCGUUGAAUAAAGGUUUAAUAUUCCUGGUUAAUACACUGAAACGGACUAACUUUCUUAAAUACGCCGUUGAAUAAAGGUUUAAUAUUCCUGGUUAAUACACUGAAACGGACUAACUUUCUUAAAUACGCCGUUGAAUAAAGGUUUAAUAUUCCUGGUUAAUACACUGAAACGGACUAACUUUCUUAAAUACGCCGUUGAAAUGUAUAAAGGUUUAAUAUUCCUGGUUAAAACACUAAAACGGACUAACUUUCUUAAAUACGCCGUUGAAAUGUAUAAAGGUUUGAUAUUCCUGGUUAAAACACUAAAACGGACUGACUUUCUUAAAUACGCCGUUGAAAUGUAUAAAGGUUUGAUAUUCCUGGUUAAAACACUAAAACGGACUGACUUUCUUAAAUACGCCGUUGAAAUGUAUAAAGGUUUAAUAUUCCUGGUUAAAACACUAAAACGGACUGCCUUUCUGGUAUACGCUGUGAAUAUAAAAGCUAAUCAUCUCAUCAGGUACAAUUGAAAUGGUUAAAUUAUCCUCAAAUUAAUAAAAAAAAAAUAUAAUACAAUACUUUUCUUCGUAUAUGGGCUUGAGAUAGAUAGAUAGAUAGAUAGAUAACGAGACAUAAUUAUCUUUCUUGACUUCGUAGUUAAAUAUAAGAUGCCAAACAGAUUACCUGGCCACACAACACUAGUAAAAAGAGGUCUUCCUGAAUAGUUGGUUAAAAUUAGAGUGGUACAUUAGUUACCCUUCUCAGUUAAAUAUAAGAUGCCAAACAGAUUACCCGGCCACACAACACUAGUAAAAAGAGGUCUUCCUGAAUAGUUGGUUAAAAUUAGAGUGGUACAUUAGUUACCCUUCUCAGUUAAAUAUAAGAUGCCAAACAGAUUACCUGGCCAGACAACACUAAUAAAAAGAGGUCUUCCUGAAUAGUUGGUUAAAAUUAGAGUAAUCCAUUAGUUACCCUUCUCAGUUAAAUAUAAGAUGCCAAACAGAUUACCUGGCCACACAACACUAAUAAAAAGAGGUCUUCCUGAAUACCCGGUUAAAAUUAGAGUAAUCCAUUAGUUACCCUUCUCAGUUAAAUAUAAGAUGCCAAACAGAUUACCCGGCCACACAACACUAGUAAAAAGAGGUCUUCCUGAAUAGUUGGUUAAAAUUAGAGUGGUACAUUAGUUACCCUUCUCAGUUAAAUAUAAGAUGCCAAACAGAUUACCCGGCCACACAACACUAGUAAAAAGAGGUCUUCCUGAAUAGUUGGUUAAAAUUAGAGUAAUCCAUUAGUUACCCUUCUCAGUUAAAUAUAAGAUGCCAAACAGAUUACCUGGCCAGACAACACUAAUAAAAAGAGGUCUUCCUGAAUACCCGGUUAAAAUUAGAGUAAUCCAUUAGUUACCCUUCUCAGUUAAAUACAAGAUGCCAAACAGAUUACCUGGCCACACAACACUAAUAAAAAGAGGUCUUCCUGAAUACCCGGUUAAAAUUAGAGUAAUCCAUUAGUUACCCUUCGCAGUUAAAUAUAAGAUGCCAAACAGAUUACCUGGCCACACAACACUAAUAAAAAGAGGUCUUCCUGAAUACCCGGUUAAAAUUAGAGUAAUCCAUUAGUUACCCUUCUCAGUUAAAUACAAGAUGCCAAACAGAUUACCUGGCCAGACAACACUAGUAAAAAGAGGUCUUCCUGAAUAGUUGGUUAAAAUUAGAGUGGUACAUUAGUUACCCUUCGCAGUUAAAUAUAAGAUGCCAAACAGAUUACCUGGCCAGACAACACUAAUAAAAAAAGGUCUUCCUGAAUAGUUGGUUAAAAUUAGAGUAAUCCAUUAGUUACCCUUCGCAGUUAAAUAUAAGAUGCCAAACAGAUUACCUGGCCACACAACACUAAUAAAAAGAGGUCUUCCUGAUUAGUUGGUUAAAAUUAGAGUAAUCCAUUAGUUACCCUUCUCAGUUAAUGGCGUUGUUAAUCUCUGUAUUCACCGCGACAUCCGUCACACCCACGAAUACCUGUUACACCCUUGCCCUUAAGAGUUUUUUUAGGGGGGGGGAGGAGGUUAUAGAGUUAGUGUAUCUACGCCGCAGCCUGCACCCCCCCCCCCCCCUCCCCUAUCCCCCGACGAUCUUCCUGGGGUAUGAUGGGAGACUAAUGAAUAAUAAUAAUAAUGAUGAUGAUGAGGAGGAGGAGGAAGAGGAUAAGAAGAUGAUAAUAAUAACGAAAUAGAAACACCAACUAUGAGAAAAUAACGUAACACACACACACACACACACACACACACACACACACACACACGUGACAAACAUAAACAUUAACUGGAGUAGAAGGACGAAAGGAAGAAAGAAAGAAAGAAAGAAAGGAAGAAAGAAAGAAAGAAAGAAAGAAAGAAAGAAAGAAAGGAAGGAAGGAAGGAAGGAAGGAAGGAAGGAAGGAAGAAACAAACAAAGAAAGAAAGAAAGGAAGGAAGGAAGGAAAGACAAGAUUAAAAAUAUAUAUGUUACCCAGGGCAAAGGAACAGGAAAGGAAGAAGGAAAAAAGAGAAGCAAAAGAAGGCGAGUAUAUGUAGCCUGAGGGAAAAGGAAAAGGAAGCAAGGAAGAACAGAAAACAGCAAAUAAAGGAGAGAUAGAAGGAAUAAAAGAAAAAUAGAUGUGGAACUCAGAACAAGGAAAUAAAUGAAGGAAGGAAAAAAUAAGGAAAAACAAGGU